ACAGUCACACAUUAGAUACCCGUGUAGUCCCAGCCCUAAACGAUGCGCGUUAGGUGUAUCGGUGACCACGAGUCACCGAGGUGCCGAAGGGAAACCGUGAAACGUGCCGCCUGGGAAGUACGGUCGCAAGGCUGAAACUUAAAGGAAUUGGCGGGGAGCACCACAACGGGUGGAGCCUGCGGUUUAAUUGGACUCAACGCCGGGAAGCUCACCGGAUAAGACAGCGGAAUGAUUGCCGGGCUGAAGACCCUGCAUGACCAGCUG
RNAcentral lists this ribosomal RNA (264 nucleotides) under uncultured archaeon. RNAcentral's name for it is "partial 16S ribosomal RNA". It matches the Rfam family "Archaeal small subunit ribosomal RNA", at positions 719 to 982 of the family's 1478-position model. The record is from RNAcentral.